UGCCAGCCGCCGCGGUAAUACGGAGGGUGCAAGCGUUACUCGGAAUCACUGGGCGUAAAGGGUGCGUAGGCGGUUUAGUAAGUCUUGUGUGAAAUGUCAGGGCUCAACCUUGAGACAGCAUGGGAAACUGCUAAACUAGAGUGUGAAAGAGGCAGGUGGAAUUAGUGGUGUAGGGGUAAAAUCCGUAGAUAUCACUAGGAAUACCGAUGGCGAAGGCGACCUGCUGGAACAUAACUGACGCUGAGGCACGAAAGCGUGGGGAGCAAACAGGAUUAGAUA
Molecule: ribosomal RNA, 279 nt
Filed under: uncultured bacterium
Lineage: Bacteria
Description: partial 16S ribosomal RNA
Rfam family: Bacterial small subunit ribosomal RNA
Source: RNAcentral